Molecule: non-coding RNA, 45 nt
Organism: Schistosoma rodhaini
Lineage: Eukaryota; Metazoa; Platyhelminthes; Trematoda; Strigeidida; Schistosomatidae
Source: Rfam
AUCCAUCUGACGAGUCCCAAAUAGGACGAAACACGCGUCCUGGAU